This 512-nucleotide ribosomal RNA is filed under the name Alternaria sp. GL5-2C. Its description in RNAcentral is "eukaryotic LSU rRNA". The stretch from base 147 to 300 matches the Rfam family "5.8S ribosomal RNA". The record is from RNAcentral. Lineage: Eukaryota; Fungi; Ascomycota; Dothideomycetes; Pleosporales; Pleosporaceae.
UGGACCUCUCGGGGUUACAGCCUUGCUGGAAUUAUUCACCCUUGUCUUUUGCGUACUUCUUGUUUCCUUGGUGGGUUCGCCCACCACUAGGACAAACAUAAACCUUUUGUAAUUGCAAUCAGCGUCAGUAACAAAUUAAUAAUUACAACUUUCAACAACGGAUCUCUUGGUUCUGGCAUCGAUGAAGAACGCAGCGAAAUGCGAUAAGUAGUGUGAAUUGCAGAAUUCAGUGAAUCAUCGAAUCUUUGAACGCACAUUGCGCCCUUUGGUAUUCCAAAGGGCAUGCCUGUUCGAGCGUCAUUUGUACCCUCAAGCUUUGCUUGGUGUUGGGCGUCUUGUCUCUAGCUUUGCUGGAGACUCGCCUUAAAGUAAUUGGCAGCCGGCCUACUGGUUUCGGAGCGCAGCACAAGUCGCACUCUCUAUCAGCAAAGGUCUAGCAUCCAUUAAGCCUUUUUUUCAACUUUUGACCUCGGAUCAGGUAGGGAUACCCGCUGAACUUAAGCAUAUCAAUA